RNAcentral lists this small RNA (1125 nucleotides) under Cryptococcus neoformans H99. RNAcentral describes it as "Cryptococcus neoformans var. grubii H99 hypothetical RNA". The record is from RNAcentral. Lineage: Eukaryota; Fungi; Basidiomycota; Tremellomycetes; Tremellales; Cryptococcaceae.
GUUCUAAUGACAACAAAGUAUUCCGUCGGUUACUAAACCCUGUACGCCGCUAUUAUUUCUCUUUUUCAACCCUCCUUUAUGCCCUACCUGAAACUCUCCGCCUUUCGUUCCGUGCAGCGGCCGCAGAGAUUUUCAAAUCUACUUCUGUGCGCCACCGGGCGGCAUCGUUCCUAUUCAUAGUACUCAAAACAGCAAGCGCUACUGCCUUGAACGUCCUCGCGGGUCUUGGCGGUUCGGGGAUAGGGAAGCCCAUCUUGGCAAUAGCCUUGAUAGUCGCUUGUUCGCUGCAAAGUGCAGUAAAUAUCUCUUCUGCAGUGCCAGCGCAUUUCGGAAGGUCGCCUCGCGGGUAUAUUUGGCUUUCAGAUACCUGAUUUGGGUAGCAAGUUCUCGUGAUUGGGCUUUGAACCGCGACUUUUGUUCGGCCAAGAUGACGACUUACGCGUCACACUCGUGCAAUUCCCUCCACUUUUCAGCUUUUUCAUACCUUGUCUUCACGUCCUGAACUUCGUGUCUUAACCUCCUCUCUCGCUCCUUCACCUCUUCCAUUUCUCUUUCCAAAGCUUGAAGUUCAGCAGCAUGUCUGGAAGAUUUGCUGGUCUGUUCCCUUUUCAGCGCUUGUAAUUGCUGACCGAAGUCUUCGCUCUCAAUCUUAUGCUUUUGCAAGUCGUUUUCAAACUCCCUCAAUUCUUGAGCGAUUAUUUCACGUUCGCGGCGGUAUUUGUUCACCUGAGCCUCAGAUUCUCUUACUUCCUGAUCACGUCUAGCAAGUGUCUCGCGAAGGUGGUGGGAUAUCGAUUCUGCGUCACGAAGCGAUGAUUCGAGCAAGCGAAUGGCUUCAGACGUUUGGGAUAACUCGGCUCGUAGUUGAGCAGCUGUAGCGCCAUCGCAAGCAAUUUGAGCAUUGCGUCUUGAAAGUGAAUCAUAGGCUCGUCGUUCGUCACUCAGCUCUCGUUCAAGCUGAGUCACUCGUGACUUGAGGAUUUGAAUUUCCUGAAUGUAAUUAUCAGCCGUCAAUCUUUAAUGUUAGUAAGGGAAGAUACAUACGUGCUUCAACUCAUCUCUUUCCUUUUCCACCCUCUUAACCUCUUCACGUGCUUGUUCAACCUCCCUCUCCGAUCCUUCAGC